CUGCUAUGAUGAUGUAUUCCAACAUUCGCAGUUUCCACCAGACCGAGAUAAACUUAAUAUACAGGAAGGUAAAACUUGCUGUAUAUUAAGCCAACUCUCAUUAAUGAUGGUUUAACGUUCCUUCCUUGGAUGUCUGAGCAG
This is a small nucleolar RNA of Ciona intestinalis (vase tunicate), 141 nucleotides long. Its record names the gene SNORD14. It matches the Rfam family "Small nucleolar RNA SNORD14". From Rfam's summary of the family: U14 small nucleolar RNA (U14 snoRNA) is required for early cleavages of eukaryotic precursor rRNAs. In yeasts, this molecule possess a stem-loop region (known as the Y-domain) which is essential for function. A similar structure, but with a different consensus sequence, is found in plants, but is absent in vertebrates. The record is from Ensembl. Lineage: Eukaryota; Metazoa; Chordata; Ascidiacea; Phlebobranchia; Cionidae.